GUGGGGAAUAUUGGACAAUGGGCGAAAGCCUGAUCCAGCCAUGCCGCGUGUGUGAAGAAGGUCUUCGGAUUGUAAAGCACUUUAAGUUGGGAGGAAGGGCAGUAAGUUAAUACCUUGCUGUUUUGACGUUACCGACAGAAUAAGCACCGGCUAACUCCGUGCCAGCAGCCGCGGUAAUACGGAGGGUGCGAGCGUUAUCCGGAUUUACUGUGUUUAAAGGGUGCGCAGGCGGUCUUAUAAGUCCGGGGUGAAAUACUACAGUUCAACUGUAGAACUGCCUUGGAUACUAUAGGACUUGAAUCGAGUAUAGGUCAGCGGAAUACAACAUGUAGCGGUGAAAUGCAUAGAUAUGUUGUGGAACACCGAUUGCGAAGGCAGCUGACUGGGCUUGAAUUGACGCUCAGGCACGAAAGCGUGGGUAGCGAACAGGAUUAGAUACCCGAGUAGUCC
RNAcentral lists this ribosomal RNA (450 nucleotides) under uncultured bacterium. RNAcentral's name for it is "partial 16S ribosomal RNA". It matches the Rfam family "Bacterial small subunit ribosomal RNA", at positions 354 to 796 of the family's 1533-position model. The record is from RNAcentral.